AUUCCAGAUUAGCCCGAAUUUCAGCGUCCUCCACGUCAAUCGCACGCCUCAGGGAAAGCCGGUCGCCAACCCCCGGAGCCAGGCGCCGAGGCGCUGCGCGCUCCCCUCACAGCCCUCUGAGGGGGCGGGGGGCGGGUUAGGAACCGGCCGCGGGUCAGCCGAGCCCCAUCGUACUUUAACACCCCUCUUACAACCAAAUAUUCGAACUAGAUUCAUCAGCUGUAAUUCAAAUUGAUUUAGACAGAUGUGGUGAGCUAAACCUCGGCUGUCCUGCCUGCACUUAGGGGAUCCCCAGUGGCGGUCGGGAGGCUCAGGCACGGGUGCUGGUGAGGGAGGUACUUACUCCACAUUAGAAUCUCCUAAGCACCAGACAUGAGGAAAUACAACUCCAAGGUUGUUUGUAGGUGGAAGUAACACUGAAUCUUCAAGGGUGUGCAUUGCAUUUCACCUGCUAUGAAACACGGAUGUGUUUAUAGUAAGCCAGAUCGGUUCCUGAUCCAACUCACUCUGCGGUUUUACAGCCAGCACUGCACAAGAAAUGCAAAGGGCAAGAGUGACAGUGGGACCAUGCCUUCUGGAAACAGUCCACACUUAAGUUCACUUAAAUUAAAGGUGAAAACAUUUGUGUUCAUUGUGAACUACUAUAGCAAUAUACAAAUUAGCAGAUAUUUUCAGCAGUCUUAGGUAUUACCUCUCUCUACAAACUCUGCUUGCUGUUUUACAGAAAGAUUACUGGUUAAAGAUGGGAAAAAUCUGUCUUUCAAAGGAGCUGUAAUUCAUACCAAGACAGUAUUAUAUACUGUAACAUUCCAAUAUCUGUUUAUUGCGACUCUUCGUUCUACUGCCGCAAGAGGUUUCUAUUAACUAUAUCCUAGAGAUUUGUCUAGAUUAGGAUUUAAAUGUUUGGGCAGACAUCAGAAUGUAUCAGGUAAUUAAUUUCAACUGUUUGAGUUGAGCAUACACUUCAUGUACUAAAUAUUAAUGAGCAAAAUAAAUUUUAUAUAUAGAAGCUUAGAAGAAAAAUAUAUAUAAAAUCAAAAUUGCCUGAAUAUAUUUUUUUCUUUGCCAGGUUUCAGUUCAGUUUUUACAGGGGCAUUACUUAAGCCAAAAACCCAAGUACCUGCGGCAUAACGCUGAUAGGGGAGCAGUGCCAGCAAUCUUUGUAUAAAACAACUCAAGGUUGAUACAACACCAAAAGUCAUAAAAAGGUGGAUGGAAACAAAAGAGGUUUAAGGACUCCUAGGAAGGCUAGGAUGUACAUUUUAAUAGAUAACUGCUUACUUUGUCUUUGAUUGUUUCCUUUAGUUUUCUAUGGUAAAGGGAGUUAAUAAUACUCUGUAGAAGUAAAGUCAGUCACGUAAAUUAAAUAUGCAUUUAUAAUGAAUAUAGUAAAGCACAUCUGACUAUCUUUUAAUCCUGUGUCCUGAUGAAGGAAUUCCUUUAUUUUCAUAAAGACAUUCUAAAUAUUUAAAUUACAUCAUUAACAUCAACAGAAAACUAUUUUUGAUGUAGUUUCCUGCCCCUUUGCCUCCCUGAAUUGGUA
Molecule: long non-coding RNA, 1543 nt
Organism: Oxyura jamaicensis (ruddy duck)
Lineage: Eukaryota; Metazoa; Chordata; Aves; Anseriformes; Anatidae
Exons: 3
Source: RefSeq, a predicted model, not a curated record